This 603-nucleotide ribosomal RNA is filed under the name Triticum aestivum (bread wheat). RNAcentral's name for it is "partial small subunit ribosomal RNA". Lineage: Eukaryota; Viridiplantae; Streptophyta; Magnoliopsida; Poales; Poaceae. The record is from RNAcentral.
AUGGCGUCUGCUCCUCCUCCUUGUGCUGCUCCAGCGGUUCCCCGCAUGAAGCUGGGCUCCGAGGGAAUGGAGGUCUCGGCGCAGGGCCUCGGCUGCAUGGGCAUGUCCGUCGCCUACGGCCCCCCCAAGCCCGACGCCGACAUGGUGGCCCUCAUCCACCACGCCGUCGCCGCCGGAGUCACCUUCCUCGACACCUCCGACGUCUACGGUCCGCACACCAACGAGACCCUCCUCGGCAAGGCGCUGCAGGGCGGCGGCGUGAGGGACAGGGUGGAUCUGGCCACCAAGUUCGGCGCCUUCCUUUCAGAGGAUGGGUGGAAUGUCCGCGGGGACCCGGCGUACGUGCGCGAGGCGUGCGAGGGCAGCCUCAAGCGGCUAGGCGUCGAUUGCAUCGAUCUCUACUGCCAGCACCGCGUCGACACCAGGGUGCCCAUCGAGGUCACGAUUGGUGAGCUCAAGAAACUAGUCCAAGAAGGAAAGAUAAAGUACAUCGGAUUAUCCGAAGCAUCUGCAUCAACAAUCAGAAGGGCUCAUGCCGUUCAUCCUAUCACUUCAGUUCAGAUCGAAUGUCACUAUGGAGUAGGGACGUGGAAGAGGACAUAA